CAUCCCAAAUCUAUUGGAAUUAUCUUGGAUCACUGGAUUGCUGAGAUCAUAGAUUGCUAAGUCCAUCAUAGUUGAUCAUCACACAGUAUUGUUAUUACUGUGCACAAUGUUCUCCUGAUUGUGCUCACUUCACUCAGCAUCAGUUCAUGUAAGUCUUUCCAGGAAGAUGACUUUGGCAGUUGAGCAGAGGAUGGAGUAGACUGAAGAGAGACUGGGGCAGGAACACCGACCAGUGGCUACUGGAAGUGAUGAGGGUUUUCACCAGUGUCGCAUCAGUAUCAGAAGACAGAAUAGGACAUAUGGGAAGAUAUAACAAAGCUAAGAAGUUUUUCUAAGGAUGUGACCAAAUUGUAGUUGGGUUUCUUUACAGAGUCACUCCAAGGGCACCUGGAAGAAUGGCUGUCACCUUCAUUUUUAAGUGUCGCCUUGCUUGGAUUCAUUCAUCUUCUAGGAGAGUCCUAUUCCAUGGAGUACCCACUGCCACAUGUACAUGAGACAUUCAAAAGAGGUGACAGAAGGAAACCUGUGCAGAGGGGACACCUGCCAAGCAGGUGUUGCGGAGACACAGAAUGAAUGGGCAGAUUACUGAGACAUGGUGGAAGUUCAUUCCAUUGUGUUGUUCCUCAAGUUCCUAUCAGCUUUAAUUCCUGUGAUUUUUGCUAAUAAGAUAUAAUGUAUAAUUACAAACUAAGGUCCAUCAGCCAUUUCCUGCUAAGGCAAGACAACAGUGGAAAUCACCUGAACAAAUUAGAACUUUCUGGAUCUGAUAUGAGCCUGAUUAAAUAGCAGUCAAUGUCAACUAGGCUACCAUGACACUCAGGAUUACAUAUUCUUUGAAAGCACCAUAACAUAGUUACUGUUUCUUCUACUCAAGUAAUUCUUUCUUAAUCAUACAAAACAUGCACGUUUUGGUGGGAACAAAAUAAUUUAAAAUGUAUUCUACAGAUUAUUGAAUUCAAUUAGAUAAAUUCUAAUACACAAAAUGAAGCUUCUGCAAAGAUAGUUGCCAAAAACAAAAGGCACAAAAAAAAAAAAAAAAAUGGGGGAAAGAAGGGAAAGAAUAAGCUGAUUUAUUUUCCCCUGACUUCCUGGUAAAGAAUGCCCAAACCAUCCCUUUGCUCACUGUCCCUACCAUGACCACCUGAGAAGAGCCACCCAAAGCCAGGGUGGAGGAAGACUCUCUAGAGAGCUAGAGG
Molecule: long non-coding RNA, 1196 nt
Organism: Sarcophilus harrisii (Tasmanian devil)
Lineage: Eukaryota; Metazoa; Chordata; Mammalia; Dasyuromorphia; Dasyuridae
Exons: 3
Source: RefSeq, a predicted model, not a curated record